GACGAACGCUGGCGGCGUGGAUUAGGCAUGCAAGUCGAACGGUAUCAUCCUUUCGGGGGUGAGAGAGUGGCGAACUGGUGAGUAACACGUAGGUUAUCUACCCUCAAGACGGGGACAACCCAGGGAAACUUGGGCUAAUACCGGAUGUGAGCAACUUUUAGUUGUUUGAAAGGUGGCGUAAGCUGUCGCUUGGGGAUGAGCCUGCGUCCUAUUAGUUAGUUGGUGAGGUAACGGCUCACCUAGGCAAUGAUAGGUAGGCGGCCUUAACGGGUGGUCGCCCACACUGGGAUUGAGAUACGGCCCAGACUCCUACGGGAGGCAGGCAGUCGAGAAUAGUCUACAAUGGUCGGAAGACUGAUAGUGCGACGCCGCGUGAACGAUGAAUCCCUUCGGGGUGUAAAGUUCUUUUAUAUGUGAGCAGUGCUUCUUAUAUUAACAGUAUGGGGAGAGAGAUAUUAGCAUAUGAAUAAGCAACGGCUAACUCCGUGCCAGCAGCCGCGUAAACG
This 506-nucleotide ribosomal RNA is filed under the name uncultured bacterium. Its description in RNAcentral is "bacterial SSU rRNA". It matches the Rfam family "Bacterial small subunit ribosomal RNA", at positions 28 to 527 of the family's 1533-position model. The record is from RNAcentral.